AUCCAGCUGACGAGUCCCAAAUAAGACGAAAUGCACAUCCUGGAU
Molecule: non-coding RNA, 45 nt
Filed under: Schistosoma margrebowiei
Lineage: Eukaryota; Metazoa; Platyhelminthes; Trematoda; Strigeidida; Schistosomatidae
Source: RNAcentral